UGAAGUUGGCCUUUUCUGUAAGCGGAGCCGCUCGGGGAUAAACAGGGCGGCUCGCUGGUCGGAACUGCCUAUUCUGGGAGGAGGAAGAUGAUUUUUUCCUUGGGACCAGGCCAGGGGAGGUUGGGGGGGGGGGCUGGGAGCAUCCUCUGGGCCCCAUCGUGAUGGGGGGAGCGCUGAGCACCACGCUGAGCGCGGCGGCUUCUGGGCUCUGCUCCCCUGGAGAUGCUCUCGAUCCGCUGGGAGCUUUGUGGGGUCAGGGGGGGACCCCUGGAAACCCCCCCCCCGAGGAACACAAGGGUGGCGGGGAGGAGGAUAAGGGAAGGAUUGGGAUUAGGGGAGGGGAGACACAGGAGGCCCUGAUUUCUGGCAGCUCCUAAUGAGCACCCCCAGCUGCCCCCGAGCAAGGAGCGGUCGGAGCCCCGGUCCCAGCUGAGCCCGGGCUGGGGAGGGACCACCACCCCUUUGGCCAGGGCGAGGGUAAGCCCUAUAUAAGAGCUGGGCUGAGCACGCAGGCCCUGCAGUGCAGCUGGCAGAGGCAGCGGUUUGUGCAGAAAUGUUUAUUUAAAAAUAAAUAAGGAAAAAAAAAAAAAGUGCUGGCAGCUCUUCCCGGAGCGGCUCCUCAGCUGUGGCGGUGGCACGCCAAGGUCAGGGUCCCCAGCAGGUGCUGGAGCAGCUCUUCCUGCGGUGCUGGGGGGGCUCAGAGCUAGCAGGAGCCCCCAAAUCUCAGCCUGAGAGGGGUGUGCGAGGAAGAGGCCAAGAGGAUCACCUCCGAGACCCCGCAGUGACCAGAUCCCAAAUCCUCACCUGCGGAGAGGGGAAAUGUCCCCGCUGGCAAAGGCUGCGCUGGUGCCUCCUGGGACCGGGCUCAGGUGGCCCACCCUGAGGAGAUGGAAACCCAAAGGGGCGGCAGGAGGCCUCCGCCCGCGGCCACAUCCCCGACCCAGCUGGACGCGGUGCUGCGCAGCCUGCUCUGCUCUGCUUCCCCGCGCCGAGCCCCUGACGAGGGAGCGAAGCUGGUGCUGGGGAGCAGCCCAAAGCCCCCCCGUGGUUCUGCUGCUGAUCCUCACCUGCUCCCUCCCCGCCGGCCCGGGGUCUUUAUCUGUGCCUGCCUGCCGUGCCAGCUCCCCGCUGUCACACGGGCUGCGGCCGCUGUCCCUGGGCUGGCAGCUCAUUAGGGCCGGGGUGCCGCAGCUGCGCUGACAAAGGGAUGCCGGGGAUUUUCCCCAAAGCCUGGGGGGCUUCAUUUCCAGCAAGCUGUCAGCCUCUCCCCACACACACACACACCCAGCGCUCAUGAAUGUAACCCAGCAGCUCCUCCUGCCUCAGGGUCUGUGUGCUGUGACGGGCUGAAACCAUCCCUCCCUCCAGGUGCGAGGCUCCGGAGCAGGGAACGUCCCCAGAAACCCCAAAUUUUGUGCCCUGGACGGGUCUGUGAGCAUGGCA
This 1443-nucleotide long non-coding RNA is filed under the name Anser brachyrhynchus (Pink-footed goose). RNAcentral's name for it is "lncRNA (ENSABRG00000004397.1)". The record is from RNAcentral. Lineage: Eukaryota; Metazoa; Chordata; Aves; Anseriformes; Anatidae.